GAAAUGCGAUAAGUAGUGUGAAUUGCAGAAUUCAGUGAAUCAUCGAAUCUUUGAACGAACAUUGCGCCCCUUGGUAUUCCAUGGGGCAUGCCUGUUCGAGCGUCAUUUGUACCUUCAAGCUUUGCUUGGUGUUGGGUGUUUGUCCCGUCUCCGCGCGUGGACUCGCCCCAAAGUGAUUGGCAGCCGGCGUACUGGUCCCGGAGCGCAGCACAUGUCGCGCAAACGAGUGCCUUGGUACGGCGGCGUCCAUAAGCCCCUCUCUCACGCUCUUGACCUCGGAUCAGGUAGGGAUACCCGCUGAACUUAAGC
This 309-nucleotide unclassified non-coding RNA is filed under the name plant metagenome. RNAcentral's name for it is "partial contains 5.8S ribosomal RNA, internal transcribed spacer 2, and large subunit ribosomal RNA". The stretch from base 1 to 105 matches the Rfam family "5.8S ribosomal RNA", at positions 50 to 154 of the family's 154-position model. The record is from RNAcentral.